AAGGGCACCACAAGAACGCGUGGAGCAUGUGGCUUAAUUUGACUCAACGCGGGAAAUCUUACCGGGUCCGGACACACUGAGGAUUGACAGGCGUUUGUGUUACAUAUUUUAUUCUCUUCGGAGUUUAAAAUUUGUUUCACUAUAAAUAUGCUAGUCCUUUCAUGAUUGUGUGAUAGGUGGUGCAUGGCCGUUCUUAGUUCGUGGAGUGAUCUGUCUGCUUAAUUGCGUUUCACAAAGGACUUUCUAACUUCUAUCUGUUGCGCGGCUCAACUUUUGUUGUGUCUGUUGCACGGUAGAGAAAAAGUCCUGAAGGCAACGAACGUGACCGCAACCUCUUGUUGCCUCCUUUUUUAUUAAACAUGUGUAUGGUUAUAUUCUGUUUCGGCAGGGUGUGCCUACACUGCACGGAGUUUUUUGCAAACUAGAGGGACCGCUGACAACUUUUAAAACAGAGGAAGGUUGCGGCAAUAACAGGUCUGUGAUGCCCUUAGAUGUUCCGGGCUGCACACGUGCUACAAUGAUUAUUGCAGUGAGCAUCCAUUUUUACAAGAGUUUGAGUUUGUGUUGGUAUCCCUUGGGAUCCUACACAACUCACUCACCCACCUGCUUCGAAAGUAAGCAGGUAAUCAAUUCGAAGUAAUGAUUUCCUUUUCGCACAUACUUAUAUCUCUUGUUUGUAGCCGUGCUUUCAGCUUGUCUGUUAGUAUUGUUUGUUACCUUGAGAUAUGUGCUCCAUUAAUUCAUGGUGGGGACAGACCAUUGUUAAUUGUUGGUCUCGGUCUCAACUAGGAAUGCCUUGUACGGGUCUUUGGUUCAACAAACCACCCGGAAUAUGUCCCUGCCCUUUGUACACACCGCCCGUC
RNAcentral lists this ribosomal RNA (863 nucleotides) under Foraminifera environmental sample. RNAcentral's name for it is "SSU rRNA". It matches the Rfam family "Eukaryotic small subunit ribosomal RNA", at positions 1160 to 1677 of the family's 1831-position model. Lineage: Eukaryota; Foraminifera. The record is from RNAcentral.